CUCCGCCUGCAGCGCGAGCUUCAUCAGACCGCGCUACUCCUGCCACACUUCACCCAUCAGCGUGCGGUGCUCCUUCUCCAUCUCCUCCCGCAUGCGUAGCCCCCCCCCCCCAAUAGAUCAGCUCUGCCCCGACCUGGCCCUCCACCUCCCGCGUGAGCUCGAAGCAGGCGUCCUCCAUCAGCUCCCGCGCGUUGCGCUCCACCUCGUACCUCUGCGCCUACUGCUUUGUUGCCGCCCGUGCCUCUGCCAGGUUGCGCAGCAGCCUGGCGUUGGCCUGCUCCAGAUGUCGUCGGUGCCUCCGCUCUGCGCCGAGCUCGUUCUGGAGGGUGGCCACGGUGUGGCGGGAUUUUACUCGGACCUAGGAUUUCCACGCCGCUUUUCCCAGUGCCCUCCCACAAGUCGCCUCCCAUACCUCUGUCUGUCGCCCUCCUCGCCACGCCUCCCAUCGCCUGAGCGCACUUUUGUGCCCGUGAGGGCGACCCGCGGUAAGGUGCUGGCAGCAUGGGCUGUCGCGAUAUCUGCUCACAAGGUCUCUCCGUCACUUGAGCGUGAUCACUCCCACGACGGCGACCUGCGGCAUGCCGUCAGCGGCGCAGCACAGACUUCCACGACUUCUUUUUCCUAACGACUGUCGUUCGUGAUUUGUUCAUUUCGUGUCAAGCUUCUGUUCUAAGAUGAUUGUUCUGUUCUUAAACACAUCACUUUUAUGCCAGAUUCUUCUUAAGUUUCAUUCAACAAAUUUUGGUAUUACUCCCUUCGUCCCCUUUUGAUAACCAUAAUAGGGAAAAAAUAUGUACCAUAUUGAUCGUCAAUUUGUCAAGGAGGGAGCCUUAUCAGCGUAAAUGUGGCAUUAACCACUUGAGUUUCAGCUCCAAUGCAAGUUCCAUUGGUUCUCCAUGCAAGAGGGAUGCCGCAGCGCGACGUUCUCAAUCAAGGAGAUCCACUAGCCGGUGCUCAGGCUGUGGCAGCCGGCGGCGAAGGCCGAAAUGCUGCUGCUCAAUUCGUGCACUAUCCCAGAGUAUGUCUGUAGCUGAGUAGCAGUUGUCGCAUCUGUUCUCUAUUUUGGUCCUAAUUACUUGUUCGAUAUUCUGUCAAUAGCAGUAGUAAUCAGAUCGACUUACCCAAUUAAUUUAAUUAAUUUGUCCAUAUGAUAUUGCAUUUUGGGGAGGCCUUGAUUGGUGGUCAGGAAGUCGCUAUCCAAGGGCUAAGUAAAGAUUCAGAAUAAGCUUUACAUUGACCACUUGAGUUCCAUCUCCAAUGCAAGUUCCAUUGGUUCUCCAUGCAAGAGGGAUGCCGCAGCGCGAUGUUCUCCAUCAUGGAGAUCCACUAGCUGGCGCUCGGGCUGUGGCAGCCGGCGGCGAAGGACGAAAUGCUGCUGCUCAAUUCGUGCACUAUCCCAGAGCCUUGAUUGGUGGUCAGGAAGUCGCUAUCCAAGGGCUAAGUAAAGAUUCAGAAUAAGCUUUACAUUGACCACUUGAGUUCCAGCUCCAAUGCAAGUUCCAUUGGUUCUCCAUGCAAGAGGGAUGCCGCGACGCGACGUUCUCCAUCAAGGAAAUCCACUAGCCGGCGCUCGGGCUGUGGCAGCCGGCGGCGAAGGUCAAAAUGUUGCUGCUCAAUUCGUGCACUAUCCUAGAGUAUGUCCCUAGCUGAGUAGCAGUUGUCGCAUCUGUUCUCUAUUUUGGUCCUAAUUACUUGUUCGAUAUUCUGUCAAUAGCAGUAGUAAUCAGAUCGACUUACCCAAUUAAUUUAAUUAAUUUGUCCAUAUGAUAUUGCAUUUUGGGGAGGCCUUGAUUGGUGGUCAGGAAGUCGCUAUCCAAGGGCUAAGUAAAGAUUCAGAAUAAGCUUUACAUUGACCACUUGAGUUCCAUCUCCAAUGCAAGUUCCAUUGGUUCUCCAUGCAAGAGGGAUGCCGCAGCGCGACGUUCUCCAUCAAGGAGAUCCACUAGCUGGCGCUCGGGCUGUUGCAGCCGGCGGCGAAGGCCUAAAUGUUGUUGCUCAAUUCGUGCACUAUCCCAGACUUUACAUUGACCACUUGAGUUCCAUCUCCAAUGCAAGUUCCAUUGGUUCUCCAUGCAAGAGGGAUGCCGCAGCGCGACGUUCUCCAUCAAGGAGAUCCACUAGCUGGCGCUCGGGCUAUUGCAGCCGGCGGCGAAGGCCGAAAUGCUGUUGCUCAAUUCGUGCACUAUCCCAGAGCCUUGAUUGGUGGUCAGGAAGUCGCUAUCCAAGGGCUAAGUAAAGAUUCAGAAUAAGGUAUUAUGGAGUUCAGGAAUGAAGUUAUUCUAACUGCCAAAUCGAUCCUAAUAUAUACGAUUGUCUAGCUGUCUGCCUGACAGAAGUUUGGAUGCUAUCCUUUUUGGUACGCUUUGAUAAUCAAUACACACUAAACCUUAAAUCUUUUUGGGUUAUUAUUCUCUUAACAAAUAUCUUACAUGCAUGUAGUGCUUUUAUUUGAAUAUGCACAUAGAUAAUUCAAGGAAAGAUUUACUAGAUUGGCCAAUGUGAUUUAACAUAAACAAAAUCACUUCUCAGUUCUCACCUACGGCCACUUCCUCGUUUUUUAAAACAAAAUUUGUUGGUACUUAGGAAUGGGUGGUGUGUUUUGGUUUUCGUCUUGUGGUUUCAGCUUUACUUUCCAAUGAUAUUUUUCACUUUACCAUUUAUUAUAUAAUGUCCAUUGUGUGCUAAAUUUUUCUGUUUAUUAUAUAAUGUUUAAUGAGAAGUGUGCAUUUAUUUUUUCUUUGCUAUCCUACCAGACGUAUAUACUUGACGACAGUUACUAUAGAGUUUAAUUGUUUGGGUCUUGUACAUUCUGUUAUUAGUUUGAUCUGAUUU
Molecule: long non-coding RNA, 2832 nt
Organism: Zea mays
Lineage: Eukaryota; Viridiplantae; Streptophyta; Magnoliopsida; Poales; Poaceae
Exons: 7
Source: RefSeq, a predicted model, not a curated record